Molecule: long non-coding RNA, 2169 nt
Organism: Rhinopithecus roxellana (golden snub-nosed monkey)
Lineage: Eukaryota; Metazoa; Chordata; Mammalia; Primates; Cercopithecidae
Exons: 2
Source: RefSeq, a predicted model, not a curated record
CUGGUGCACCCACUCGGGGAUCUCGUCCACGUCGCCCGGCGGGUAGAGGCGCUCCUGGCCGGGCCCGCGCUUCUGCAGCUGGGCGCCGUAAGUGUAGCCUUCGCCGAAGAAGUACUUGUUGCGCAGUGGGGCCCGGUCCACAGUGUGCUCGUUGUACAGGCCCUUCUCAGCGCGGGACACCACCUCGUCAAUGCGGGCCUCGAUCUUGGCGCACUCGUCCUGGCUAAAGAGGCGCAUCUGGCGGAUGCCGCUCUUCACCUUGCGCGCCUCCUCCUCCUUCUGCAGCUGCUGCUCCUCGUAGUCGCUGCGCUCGGGGUCCGAGUCCUCCUGAUACUUGCGCUUGGCCCCGGACACCGGACAGAGUUUUGCUCUGUCACCAGGCUGGAGCGCAAUGGUGCGAUCUUGGCUCACUGCAACCUCCGCCUCCCAGGUUUAAGCCAUUCUCCUGCCUCAGCCUCCCGAGUAGCUGGGACUACAGGCACGCACCAUCAUGCCCAGCUAAUUUUUGUAUUUUUAGUAGAGAUGGGGUUUCACCAUGUUGGCUAGGAUGGUCUCCAUCUCUUGACCUCAUGAUCUGCCCGCCUCGGCCUCCCAAAGGGCUGGGAUUACAGGCGUGAGCCACCAUGCCUGGCCACGUGUAAAUGCUUGAGAUUUAAAAAGUAUGAAUCCAAUCAAUAAAUGGUAACAGUUUCUAACUGUCUGUUGCCAUGGUUACCGCCUGGCUCCCACAGUGCACAAUGGGCAGUGACCCAGGCUCAGUGCUCCCAAUUGGAGAGGGGUAGGGGAAGGCAUCAGGGAAUUGUGGAAAUCAAUCUGUGAAUGUGGUUCUCAGAUGGAAGCCAUUGUUGGAAUCCCCCCAGGGAAGCUGCUCUGAGAAAGGAUAAAAUCAUGUUAGCAGCACUCUCUGAGUGGUAACUGUGUGCCAGGCCUUGUCCUAAAGGACUGAUGUGUCCUACCUGUUUUAAUCCCCCCAGUGUCUCUGAGAGACAGGAGCUAUUAUAUCCCAUUCCAUAGAUGAGGAAACUGAGGCACGGAGCCUUGAAGCUCCAGACUGCACAACUGGUAGGUGGUGGGAUUUGAACCUGGAUGGUAAGAGGCCUGAGGAUCACACUCUGAAGUGCUCUCUGCUGAGGUUAGCUGUGCUGGCCCUGCCUUGGGGGCCACCUCUGCUAAUUAAACCAGUGUGUGUGAAUGGAGUCUUCUUCUCCAGCCAAUCCUUUACCUACCCACAUGCUGCCAUGUUCUAGGCCUUUCUGGGAUUGUUGCUGCAUUUGACAGUGUGGAACCUGAGGCUCAGUGAGAAGCAGGGAUGCCUCAAGAUCCCCUCACACAGCCUGUCAGAGGUGGGCAGGAUGGGGACCCAGGUCUGUUGGUGCCACACUGCUGCACUCAGACAUCACCUCCUCCUGGAAGCUCUUCCUGAUUGCCUCCCAGAUAGCUCAGGUCCCCUGUACACCCUGCCAGCACUGAUCAAGGUAUAUUUUAUAUCUGAGACUUGAGGCUCUGUGAGGGCCAGGGUUGAGGGGGUCUCAGUCACUUCAGUAUCUUUGCUACACAGAGAUGCUCAGUGGACCUAUGCUGAAUGAGUGAAUGAAUGUAGCCCCUGACACAUACAGGCCAGAGGCAGAGAUGGCAGCAUAAGGAGGUCACGUGGUGCUGCAAGGAAGUGGGAAAACCAAAGAGGCCUUCAUCCAUCCAUCCAUCCAUCCACCCACCUACCCACCCACCCAUGCAACCAACAAAUAUGUAUUGAGCAUCUACUAUGUUCCAGGCACUGACUUAUGGACACAGCACGAACAAGAUGGACACAGUCCUGCUCUCUUGGAGCUGACAUUCUGAUGGGGGAAUGAUACAGUUUGGAUAUUUGUCCCUUCCAAAUCUCAUGUUGAAAUGUGAUCCCUGGCCAGGCAUGGUGGCUCAUGCCUGUAAUUCCAGCACUUUGGGAGGCCAAGGUGGGCGGAUCACUUGAGGCCAGGAGUUCGAGACUGGCCUGGCCAACAGGGCAAAACUUGUCUCUACUAAAAUACAAAAAAAUAGCCAGGCGUGGUGGCGCGUGCCUCUAAUCCCAGUAUUUGGCAGGCUGAGGCAGAAGAAUCACUUGAACUGGGGAGGCAGAGGUUGUAGUGAGCCGAGAUUACUCCAGCCUAGGCGACAGAGCAAGAUACUGUA